This 449-nucleotide ribosomal RNA is filed under the name uncultured bacterium. Its description in RNAcentral is "partial 16S ribosomal RNA". It matches the Rfam family "Bacterial small subunit ribosomal RNA", at positions 29 to 523 of the family's 1533-position model. The record is from RNAcentral.
AGCGAACGCUGGCGGCAGGCCUAACACAUGCAAGUCGAACGGACCUUUCGGGGUUAGUGGCGGACGGGUGAGUAACACGUGGGAACGUGCCCUUAGGUUCGGCAUAGCUCCUGGAAACGGGUGGUAAUGCCGAAUGUGCCCUGAGGCGGAUAGAUUUAUCGCCUUUAGAGCGGCCCGCGUCUGAUUAGCUAGUUGGUGAGGUAAUGGCUCACCAAGGCUACGAUCAGUAGCUGGCCUGAGAGGAUGACCAGCCACAUUGGGACUGAGACACGGCCCAAACUCCUACGGGAGGCAGCAGUGGGGAAUCUUGCGCAAUGGGCGAAAGCCUGACGCAGCCAUGCCGCGUGGAUGAUGAAGGUCUUAGGAUUGUAAAAUCCUUUCACCGGUGAAGAUUAUGACUGUAGCCGGAGAGGAAGCCCCGGCUAACUUCGUGCCAGCCGCCGCAGUAA